RNAcentral lists this ribosomal RNA (253 nucleotides) under uncultured bacterium. RNAcentral describes it as "partial 16S ribosomal RNA". It matches the Rfam family "Bacterial small subunit ribosomal RNA", at positions 524 to 776 of the family's 1533-position model. The record is from RNAcentral.
UACGUAGGGUGCAAGCGUUGUCCGGAAUUAUUGGGCGUAAAGAGCUCGUAGGCGGUCUGUCGCGUCGGCUGUGAAAUCCCGAGGCUCGACCUCGGGUCUGCAGUCGAUACGGGCAAACUGGAGUGUUGCAGGGGAGACUGGAAUUCCUGGUGUAGCGGUGAAAUGCGCAGAUAUCAGGAGGAACACCGGUGGCGAAGGCGGGUCUCUGGGCAACAACUGACGCUGAGGAGCGAAAGCGUGGGGAGCGAACAGG